This 224-nucleotide long non-coding RNA is filed under the name Elaeis guineensis (African oil palm). Its description in RNAcentral is "long non-coding RNA (EGUI_LNC065410)". The record is from RNAcentral. Lineage: Eukaryota; Viridiplantae; Streptophyta; Magnoliopsida; Arecales; Arecaceae.
AUGCGAUACUUUACCGGAUCUCCUUAAUGGCACCUCUACUGGCUCCAGAUUCUAUUCUCCAAUCAAAUCCAAUUCUGUAUGUGUCGGUCCUUCCAUCUCAUGAACUUCAUCAAGUUCAAUUUUACAGACAUUAGCUCCUUCACCAAGGAACUACUUUUCCAGAAAGACUGUUCGACUGCUGACAAAUAUCUUUUAUUCUGCAGUGAGGUAGAAGUAGUAUCUUU